AGAGCAAGAGGACGGGGCCUAUUGUAACGAAAUGUUUGAAUCAGAUGCCAUCUGGGAUGCAAAGAGACUUGCUAUCGUGCAUGUGCAUUGAAACGACGGGGAUGAAAAUAAAAAUGACUGCAGGCGGACUGUUCUGUUUGGACAAGGAAAUGCUCUUGACAUCGGUGUACACAUGCACGCUCAACUUGGCCAUCCUGAUGCAGGCCUUCAUCACAGACCAGAAAGCAGGCCGGGCUGGCGAAAACGAAUAAACUCGCGUUUCAUCUUAAAUAAUCAAUUAAGGCGACGCGGAAAAGGCCAGCAUAAAAGCAAAACAAUUUGUUUUCGGGGCCGCCGCACUUCUUUUCAUCAGUGCCCGAUCAAUUUUGAAUGCCGCGGAAAAGUUUAGUGCCAAUAAAGGCGAGCCGCUCCGAAUCCAGCGCUCGUUUUGCGUUUUGAAUUCUGCACCCGAGCGAGCGCGAGUGCAAAACGGAAAGCCAUCUCCUCAAGCGCUGCACUAUAAAACGGAAGAGCGAACGACAAGUGGAACGAGCGAAAAAAUCGAAACUGCCGCCGCUCGUCGUAAAAACGCCGCUCAAUUGCAUUGCUUUUUAUUAUGUAGCUAAACAACAAAAAGCCGCUGCUAUAUCGGUUCGCGGAAAUUGCGGCCGCCGCCGA
Molecule: long non-coding RNA, 657 nt
Organism: Cloeon dipterum
Lineage: Eukaryota; Metazoa; Arthropoda; Insecta; Ephemeroptera; Baetidae
Exons: 3
Source: RefSeq, a predicted model, not a curated record